RNAcentral lists this ribosomal RNA (305 nucleotides) under uncultured bacterium. RNAcentral's name for it is "bacterial SSU rRNA". It matches the Rfam family "Bacterial small subunit ribosomal RNA", at positions 337 to 656 of the family's 1533-position model. The record is from RNAcentral.
GCCUACGGGAGGCAGCAGUGGGGAAUAUUGCACAAUGGGGGAAACCCUGAUGCAGCAACGCCGCGUGAGUGAAGAAGGUUUUCGGAUUGUAAAGCUCUGUUAGCAGGGAAGAAAGGAAUGACGGUACCUGACUAAGAAGCCCCGGCUAACUACGUGCCAGCAGCCGCGGUAAUACGUAGGGGGCAAGCGUUAUCCGGAUUUACUGGGUGUAAAGGGAGCGUAGACGGUUACGCAAGUCUGGAGUGAAAGGCGGGGGCCCAACCCCCGGACUGCUUUGGAAACUGUAUAACUGGAGUGCCGGAGAG